CCCCAGCAUGGCCAGGUGACAGCAAGUCCCACCUGCGGGAACAGCCCAGGAAAGCCAAAGGGCACUGAAACUGAGGUGUGAGGCAAGCACCAGUCUUGGCCCUACCUUCUCUUGGAAUUUCUCUGAGCUGAACACUGCUGGGACUAGGAGUGUCCUUAGGGAGUUUGACCCUUCAUGGUACCAGCUGUGUAAUAAAGAUGAGGGAAUUAUAUCUCACAUGGCAGACCCUUGUGUCUUUGUGUGGUGCUGCACAACUGCUGGGUCACAGGAGUUACCACCAGGUUUUCAUCAUGAGAAAUGAAAUAUGAAUAUAUCUUCGCCAGAAACAAAGGAACCUAUUCCACAAAAAAUGACAGUAUUCUGUCCCUCUCCAAGAGGACUGGCAGCAGCUCCAGACUGCAAGAGACUCAGAUACCAAGCUUUCCCACAGCAUGGAUUUCUUUGUCACAGUGAUGUGUACCCAGGCCAGUGAACUGCAUGGGCUGCUCUUCUGCACAGCAAAUAACUGUGCUGGGAGAAUCAUUCAUUUUCCACGCAACGCCUCUGCUGUGAGGGCCAUUUUUCAGCUUGGCAGAAGGGUGGCACCUGCCUUGUUUUUCAUUUGGCUUGAGAACUACUUCUUCUUCUGUCGAACUACUAUACCUGCAUUUUUUGACAGGAAAUACCUGAGAAGCUGCUGGACUCACCUGCCCCCCUUUCAGCACCCACGCAUGGUGGGAUGCCAGCAUGGGCUGUGACUUUUGUGUGUGGUCCCUCUUCUAAAGAUUUAUUUGGUUUUUAAAUGGGUUUGUAGUCAAAUGAAAUAGUAACACCCUUUCAAGGAGACAUACAAAGGCUCAGGAGAAUGAUGCUACAUGAACUGACUUCCAGACCUUUCUCAUUUGUAAGCACAUUCUGUCUGGUGCCCUUAUGUGGCAAUUGUAAUUAGAAAACAUCUUGAGUCAGAGCACACCUUUGUGUCUUUAUUGGUACUUCUCUUUGUCUCAGGAGCUAAGAGUUUUAAAAUGUUGAGGAACAGCACUUACUAACAUUGUUCAUUUUGAUGCUGGCCCUAGCCCCUAAGGCAGGCCAGUGGAGGUGUGCUGGGUUGUGAGCUGAAAAGCAGCAUGCAAUGCUGACAAAUAGAUGUUUUUCUUUGCUUAAGAUUGGACCUUGUGUAAAGCAAAGCAAUAUUAAAAUACAUGUUGCCAGCUUGUGACAGGGAAGGAAAUCCUUCUCAAAUUGGCAGGGUUUUUUUAUCAAUUCCCCAUAAUUCUCCAUUGUUGUUACAGGGAGAGAAAGCAUUGGAGCAGGACAAUGUGUGUUUGGAAACUGAAAGUAUCUUAGCAGAUCUUGUAGGAUUUGAAUUGAAGCUCUGGUGAGAAGUGAGGUGGUUCUCUGCCACGGAGGCAAGAAAAAGACCUGUUAAGAACUUCAUGGUACAUUAGGUCAUUUAUACUUCAUAGAUUUAUUGGCUUUGCACUUUGUCUGC
Molecule: long non-coding RNA, 1471 nt
Organism: Passer domesticus (house sparrow)
Lineage: Eukaryota; Metazoa; Chordata; Aves; Passeriformes; Passeridae
Exons: 4
Source: RefSeq, a predicted model, not a curated record